AAGUCGUAACAAGGUUUCCGUAGGUGAACCUGCGGAAGGAUCAUUAUAAAAUUUUCAUAUAUUAUUUAUUUAAUAUAUAAAAUUAUAUACAAAAUGUAUUCAAAACCCACACUCUUUAUAACAUAAAAAAAAUUAUAUUAUUUAUAUAAUAUAAAAAAAACAACUUUCAACAACGGAUCUCUUGGCUCUC
RNAcentral lists this unclassified non-coding RNA (190 nucleotides) under Entrophospora etunicata. Its description in RNAcentral is "Claroideoglomus etunicatum partial internal transcribed spacer region". The stretch from base 1 to 46 matches the Rfam family "Eukaryotic small subunit ribosomal RNA", at positions 1786 to 1831 of the family's 1831-position model. The record is from RNAcentral. Lineage: Eukaryota; Fungi; Glomeromycota; Glomeromycetes; Entrophosporales; Entrophosporaceae.